ACGCCGCGGUAUCCUGACCGUGCAAAGGUAGCAUAAUCACUUGCCUAUUAAUUGUAGGCUAGAAUGAAGGGACAAACGAGAAUACACCUGUCUCCUUUAAGCCCUUAAAAAUUUAUCUUUAAGUGAAGAAGCUUAAAUUCAUAUGCAGGACAAGAAGACCCUAUAGAGCUUUACCUAAAAUCUACAUAAAUAGUAGCUAGCGGUUCGGUUGGGGCGACCGGGGGACAUUCAUCACCCCCAAACUAAAAGAUAUACCUAUCCCACCAAAGAUCCUUACUCAAGAUCAAAGAAUCAAGCUACCUUAGGGAUAACAGGCUAAUCCUCUUAGAGAGCCCUUAUCGACAAGAGGGGUUGGCACCUCGAUGUUGGCUU
RNAcentral lists this ribosomal RNA (372 nucleotides) under Tubifex tubifex (sludge worm). Its description in RNAcentral is "partial 16S ribosomal RNA". It matches the Rfam family "Bacterial large subunit ribosomal RNA", at positions 1928 to 2538 of the family's 2925-position model. The record is from RNAcentral. Lineage: Eukaryota; Metazoa; Annelida; Clitellata; Tubificida; Naididae.